RNAcentral lists this ribosomal RNA (569 nucleotides) under Trichosporon asteroides. Its description in RNAcentral is "partial large subunit ribosomal RNA". It matches the Rfam family "Eukaryotic large subunit ribosomal RNA", at positions 62 to 619 of the family's 3401-position model. The record is from RNAcentral. Lineage: Eukaryota; Fungi; Basidiomycota; Tremellomycetes; Trichosporonales; Trichosporonaceae.
AAACUAACAAGGAUUCCCCUAGUAACGGCGAGUGAAGCGGGAAGAGCUCAAAUUUGAAAUCUGGCAGUCUUCGAUUGUCCGAGUUGUAAUCUAUAGAGGCGUUUUCCGUGCCGGACCGUGUCCAAGUCUCCUGGAAAGGAGUAUCAAAGAGGGUGAUAAUCCCGUACUUAACACGACCACCGGUGCUCUGUGAUACGUCUUCUACGAGUCGAGUUGUUUGGGAAUGCAGCUCAAAAUGGGUGGUGAAUUCCAUCUAAAGCUAAAUAUUGGCGAGAGACCGAUAGCGAACAAGUACCGUGAGGGAAAGAUGAAAAGCACUUUGGAAAGAGAGUUAAACAGUACGUGAAAUUGUUGAAAGGGAAACGAUUGAAGUCAGUCGUGUUCUUUGGAUUCAGCCAGUUCUGCUGGUCUACUUCCUUGGAACGGGUCAACAUCAGUUUUGUCCGGUGGAUAAAGGUAGUAGGAAUGUGACUUCUCCGGAAGUGUUAUAGCCUAUUAUCACAUACACUGGGUGAGACUGAGGACUGCAGCUCGCCUUUAUGGCCGGUCUUCGGACACGUUCGAGCUUA